CGAAAGGGACGCUAAUACCGCAUGAUGUUCCGGGGUUGAAGACCUGGAAACCAAAGCCGGGACCGCAAGGCCUGGCGCUUGGAGAGGGGCCCGCGCCCGAUUAGCUAGUUGGUGAGGUAACGGCUCACCAAGGCAACGAUCGGUAGCCGGCCUGAGAGGGCGGACGGCCACACUGGGACUGAGACACGGCCCAGACUCCUACGGGAGGCAGCAGUGGGGAAUUGUUCGCAAUGGGCGCAAGCCUGACGACGCAACGCCGCGUGGAGGAUGAAGGUCUUCGGAUUGUAAACUCCUGUCGACCGGGACGAACGGCCCGCGACCUAACACGUCGUGGGAGUGACGGUACCGGUGGAGGAAGCCCCGGCUAACUCUGUGCCAGCAGCCGCGGUAAUA
This 393-nucleotide ribosomal RNA is filed under the name uncultured bacterium. RNAcentral describes it as "bacterial SSU rRNA". It matches the Rfam family "Bacterial small subunit ribosomal RNA", at positions 152 to 525 of the family's 1533-position model. The record is from RNAcentral.